This 494-nucleotide ribosomal RNA is filed under the name uncultured bacterium. RNAcentral's name for it is "partial 16S ribosomal RNA". It matches the Rfam family "Bacterial small subunit ribosomal RNA", at positions 28 to 507 of the family's 1533-position model. The record is from RNAcentral.
GACGAACGCUGGCGGCGUGCUUAACACAUGCAAGUCGAGCGGAAAGGCCUGCUUUCCCUUGUGGAUUGCGGGUACUCGAGUGGCGAACGGGUGAGUAACACGUGAGUGAUCUGCCCCCAACUUGGGUAUAAGCCUGGGAAACUGGGUCUAAUUCCCGAUAGGACUGCAGGGUGGUGCCUGUGGUGGAAAACGAUUUUCUAGUGGUUGGGGAUGAGCUCGCGGCCUAUCAGCUUGUUGGUGGGGUAGUGGCCUACCAAGGCGGCGACGGGUAGCCGGCCUGGGAGGGGGGACGGCGACAUUGGGACUGAGAUACGGCCCAGACUCCUACGGGAGGCAGCAGUGGGGAAUAUUGCACAAUGGGCGGAAGCCUGAUGCAGCGACGCCGCGGGGGGGAUGACGGCCUUCGGGUUGUAAACUCCUUUCGACCGCGAGGAAGCCACCUGGUUGGAAGGGUGGUGACGGUAGUGGUAGAAGAAGCACCGGCUAACUACGUG